Molecule: non-coding RNA, 632 nt
Filed under: Selaginella moellendorffii
Lineage: Eukaryota; Viridiplantae; Streptophyta; Lycopodiopsida; Selaginellales; Selaginellaceae
Description: rRNA LSU_rRNA_eukarya
Rfam family: Eukaryotic large subunit ribosomal RNA
Source: Rfam by way of RNAcentral
CCCGCUGAGUUUAAGCAUAUCACUAAGCGGAGGAAAAGAAACUAACAAGGAUUUCCUUUGUAACGGCGAGCGAACCGGAAAUUGCCCGGCUUGAAAAUCGGGCCGCUUUGCGCUUUGAAUUGUAGUCUGGAGAAGGGACCUCAGCAACGGACCGUGCUUCAGUCCUUUGGAAAGGGACGCCAGAGAGGGUGAGAGCCCCGUCUAGCACGGACCCUGUUGCAACACGAGGCUCUGUCUACGAGUCGGGUUGUUUGGGAAUGCAGCCUUAAGUGGGUGGUAAAUCUCAUCCAAGGCUAAAUACUGGCGAGAGACCGAUAGUGCACAAGUACCGCGAGGGAAAGAUGAAAAGGACUUUGAAAAGAGAGUUAAAAAGUGCUUGAAAUUGCUGGGAGGGAAGCGAAUGGAUGCCUUUGUUGCCUGCUGGUUGUGUGCGGAACGGCGUAAAAGCUGGUCUGUCAAUCAACUCAGCGGGCUCGCUAGUGUGGGGGUGGAUGCCGGGAUAAAGGUCCCGGGCUCUUUUGCUUGGGAUUGAUGCCGGUGUCUACUCUGUGGCCUGGGGUGUGCGCCUUUCUGGCGGGCAACCUGCACACCCGGGACGCUGGCGGUUUUAGGUCACUUCUAUUCUGAAACGG